GCGGUGUUCUACAAGCUCGGC
This 21-nucleotide non-coding RNA is filed under the name Arabidopsis thaliana (thale cress). Lineage: Eukaryota; Viridiplantae; Streptophyta; Magnoliopsida; Brassicales; Brassicaceae. The record is from RNAcentral.